UGCCUAACACAUGCAAGUCGAACGCUCCCUGUAGCAAUACGGGGGGAGUGGCGGACGGGUGAGUAACACGUAGCUCAUCUACCCUGGGGCGGGGGAUAACGGCUGGAAACGGUCGCUAAUACCCCAUACGCUGGGAGACGGUAGGGGUCUCUCAGGAAAGCUACGGUGUCCUGGGAUGAGGCUGCGGCCCAUCAGCUAGUUGGCGAGGUAACGGCUCACCAAGGCGACGACGGGUAGGGGGCCUGAGAGGGUGGUCCCCCACACUGGAACUGAGACACGGUCCAGACUCCUACGGGAGGCAGCAGUGAGGAAUAUUGCGCAAUGGGCGAAAGCCAGACGCAGCAACGCCGCGUGGAGGAAGACGGCCUUCGGGUUGUAAACUCCUUUUCUGGGGGAAGAAGCUGACGGUACCCCAGGAAGAAGUCUCGGCUAACUACGUGCCAGCAGCCGCGGUAAAACGUAGGAGACGAGCGUUAUCCGGAUUUACUGGGCGUAAAGCGCGUGCAGGCGGUUGGGAAAGUCGUGCGUGAAAGCUCCUGGCUUAACUGGGAGAGGUCGUACGAAACUACCCGGCUAGAGGGCAGGCGAGGGGUGUGGAAU
This 600-nucleotide ribosomal RNA is filed under the name uncultured bacterium. RNAcentral describes it as "bacterial SSU rRNA". It matches the Rfam family "Bacterial small subunit ribosomal RNA", at positions 45 to 667 of the family's 1533-position model. The record is from RNAcentral.